GACGAACGCUGGCGGCGUGCCUAAUACAUGCAAGUUGAGCGCUGAAGGUUGGUACUUGUACCAACUGGAUGAGCAGCGAACGGGUGAGUAACGCGUGGGGAAUCUGCCUUUGAGCGGGGGACAACAUUUGGAAACGAAUGCUAAUACCGCAUAAAAACUUUAAACACAAGUUUUAAGUUUGAAAGAUGCAAUUGCAUCACUCAAAGAUGAUCCCGCGUUGUAUUAGCUAGUUGGUGAGGUAAAGGCUCACCAAGGCGAUGAUACAUAGCCGACCUGAGAGGGUGAUCGGCAACAUUGGGACUGAGACACGGCCCAAACUCCUACGGGAGGAAGCAGUAGGGAAUCUUCGGCAAUGGACGAAAGUCUGACCGAGCAACGCCGCGUGAGUGAAGAAGGUUUUCGGAUCGUAAAACUCUGUUGGUAGAGAAGAACGUUGGUGAGAGUGGAAAGCUCAUCAAGUGACGGUAACUACCCAGAAAGGGACGGCUAACUACGUG
This 497-nucleotide ribosomal RNA is filed under the name uncultured bacterium. Its description in RNAcentral is "partial 16S ribosomal RNA". It matches the Rfam family "Bacterial small subunit ribosomal RNA", at positions 28 to 507 of the family's 1533-position model. The record is from RNAcentral.